Molecule: ribosomal RNA, 482 nt
Filed under: uncultured bacterium
Lineage: Bacteria
Description: partial 16S ribosomal RNA
Rfam family: Bacterial small subunit ribosomal RNA
Source: RNAcentral
AUUGAACGCUGGCGGCAUGCCUUACACAUGCAAGUCGAACGGUAACGGGCCUUCGGGUGCCGACGAGUGGCGAACGGGUGAGUAAUACAUCGGAACGUGCCCGAUCGUGGGGGAUAACGAGGCGAAAGCUUUGCUAAUACCGCAUACGAUCUACGGAUGAAAGCAGGGGACCGCAAGGCCUUGCGCGGACGGAGCGGCCGAUGGCAGAUUAGGUAGUUGGUGGGAUAAAAGCUUACCAAGCCGACGAUCUGUAGCUGGUCUGAGAGGAUGAUCAGCCACACUGGGACUGAGACACGGCCCAGACUCCUACGGGAGGCAGCAGUGGGGAAUUUUGGACAAUGGGCGCAAGCCUGAUCCAGCCAUGCCGCGUGCAGGAUGAAGGCCUUCGGGUUGUAAACUGCUUUUGUACGGAACGAAAAGCCUUCUUUUAAUACAGGAGGGUCAUGACGGUACCGUAAGAUUAAGCACCGGCUAACUACGUG